Molecule: ribosomal RNA, 541 nt
Filed under: Rhizobium sp.
Lineage: Bacteria; Pseudomonadati; Pseudomonadota; Alphaproteobacteria; Hyphomicrobiales; Rhizobiaceae
Description: bacterial SSU rRNA
Rfam family: Bacterial small subunit ribosomal RNA
Source: RNAcentral
GGGGUAAAGGCCUACCAAGGCGACGAUCCAUAGCUGGUCUGAGAGGAUGAUCAGCCACAUUGGGACUGAGACACGGCCCAAACUCCUACGGGAGGCAGCAGUGGGGAAUAUUGGACAAUGGGCGCAAGCCUGAUCCAGCCAUGCCGCGUGAGUGAUGAAGGCCCUAGGGUUGUAAAGCUCUUUCACCGGAGAAGAUAAUGACGGUAUCCGGAGAAGAAGCCCCGGCUAACUUCGUGCCAGCAGCCGCGGUAAUACGAAGGGGGCUAGCGUUGUUCGGAAUUACUGGGCGUAAAGCGCACGUAGGCGGAUCGAUCAGUCAGGGGUGAAAUCCCAGGGCUCAACCCUGGAACUGCCUUUGAUACUGUCGAUCUGGAGUAUGGAAGAGGUGAGUGGAAUUCCGAGUGUAGAGGUGAAAUUCGUAGAUAUUCGGAGGAACACCAGUGGCGAAGGCGGCUCACUGGUCCAUUACUGACGCUGAGGUGCGAAAGCGUGGGGAGCAAACAGGAUUAAAUACCCUGGUAGUCCACGCCGUAAACGAUGA